Molecule: ribosomal RNA, 323 nt
Filed under: uncultured bacterium
Lineage: Bacteria
Description: bacterial SSU rRNA
Rfam family: Bacterial small subunit ribosomal RNA
Source: RNAcentral
GAUGAACGCUGGCGGCGUGCUUAACACAUGCAAGUCGAACGAGAAUCAACGGAUUGAGGAUUCGUCCAAAUGAAGUUGAGGAAAGUGGCGGACGGGUGAGUAACGCGUGAGGAACCUGCCUCGGAGUGGGGAAUAACAGUUGGAAACAGCUGCUAAUACCGCAUAAUGCAACGAAAUCGCAUGACUUUGUUGCCAAAGAUUUAUCGCUCUGAGAUGGCCUCGCGUCUGAUUAGCUAGUUGGCGGGGUAACGGCCCACCAAGGCGACGAUCCGUAGCUGGUUUGAGAGGACGACCAGCCACACUGGGACUGAGACACGGCCCAG